GCCGGUAGUAACAAAAGAAGAAGUAGAAAUACCGCCGCCGUAGUAAGUAGGUCCAACCUGCGGAGUACUAUAGAAGCGAUGAUGAAAUCGACGAUGUCGAUCAUCCAACGGACUCGGAAAGCUCCACGACGAAUCCUCAACCUUCCGUCGCGAGACGUACGGAGAAACAGAGCGCGGAAACACCAGAGGCGGCGGUGGAAGAGGAUCGGACUUCCUUGGUAAAUCCUCCGCCGCCGCCGCCGUCGCACAGGAACGAAGUCGAGAUAGUUGCACUUCGUGAGCCUCCGCCCUGGCCUGAGCUGCCAUGAGUGAGAGAAGCCGCUCCCGGAGACAUGUGGC
Molecule: unclassified non-coding RNA, 339 nt
Filed under: Hevea brasiliensis (rubber tree)
Lineage: Eukaryota; Viridiplantae; Streptophyta; Magnoliopsida; Malpighiales; Euphorbiaceae
Source: RNAcentral